Amphiprion ocellaris (clown anemonefish) is the source of this 1811-nucleotide long non-coding RNA. The record is from Ensembl. Lineage: Eukaryota; Metazoa; Chordata; Actinopteri; Pomacentridae.
CAUUUGGGUAAUUUAAACUUUGGCUGCUAUAAACCUUCAGGGGAAAAAAACCCAAUUACUUGAAUGUUAAAAAAAAGCAUCUAUCCUAAUCAUCGAAGAUGUACUUCAUCAUUAACAAUUGAGAUCUAUAAAAUGUUACACAAUAGCAACAAGAGGUGAUUUCUUUGAAUUGCUGGUGAUCUCACGUGCAGUGUGUUGAUAAAACACAUCAGUACAUCCACAGUAGUGAGAAGCAGGCAUAUUGGCUUCACAGACAUCUAUUAUUUGACAAUUUAUCUGUUGGCAUUAACUAAGUUGUUGCUUAAUUGUUUUACCGGUUCCUCUACUUACUAAGUGAAAACUGUUGUGUACAGUUGUAUCAAAGAGGUGCCCUAAUAUCAGCUCUGCUGACAGAAAGCAAUGUACAACUCACUAUAGCUGUGGUAUCAUGAUUCCAGGGAUUAUAGUGCAUCAUGGGCGUUUUUCAAGAGAGACCAUAAAACGCACGGAACAUGAAAUUUCCAAAGUCCAACAUGUAAGGCUGAAAUGUGAAGUACUGAGUUUCACAGUCCUUUGAGCUAUAGGUAGGACAGUAUGGCGAGCUCCAGGAUGUCUCUCCUCUCAGCAAAUAACAGCAACCAUGUAUUAAUACAUGCUGGAAGCAUCAUCCUGGCUGUCAUCAGUCAGGUGAUCUCAGACAUCUUCUUUAUUCUGGCAAAGGACAGCAGCGUGCCCAAUGCUUUGUUUCAGACCUCACACCGGAAUAUGUCUGAGAGCUUCCCCCUGGAGGUGACAAUGGACUACUGGUCAGAAUAUUACUGGAUUAUGAUCGACUUGUGGUCUAAGGCUUGGCUUGUGGAUGCGGGGGUCAGCCUUUGUAGAAGAAAUGUGCUCGGCCCCGAGUCCUGCAAUCCAGAAAUCCACCCUCCAGUAUUCUAUCUGAUGUGGAGCACAGUUAAUGUUGCAAGGAUGUGCAGCAUGUCUCUGUGGGACAGACAGUGUAUACUUGGAGCUGCAUUACUCAGAUGGAUUCCAGCAGUUUAUAGCUUCUACAUGCUCCACAUGUCCUACUUUAACCUCAACAAGCACAAAGCCUGGCUCGCUAUCAACAAUCCAAGGGUGAUCCCAUGGACACAAUACCUGACCCAGAACGGGUUGGCGGUGUUUGCUUGGUGGUCUUUCUUGAAUGCUGUAGUGGGUUUUGGAAUUGUGCUCAAAUACAACGCCGGUGUUCCAGACCCACUAAUCAGCACCAUCGUCCUCACCGUUGUCACUGUGUCCAUCAUCAUAUGGUUCAUCCUACAGACCUUCUUGCUAACCAAAUACAUGGGCCACACUAACAGCGUUUAUGCCAUUCUCAUUCUGGGCCUGGGAGCAAUGUUCACCAGAAGCUACCGUCUCCAUGCCCUCACCGUAAACACAGUCUUCUGUGGGUUCCUCAUGCUCCUGGUGACCCUCAUGAGCUUGAUCUAUCUGAUGUCUGCAUGUUUGCACACGGAUAAGUCGAGCAAACCUCUCGACAUGGAGCUCUAUCAGAAAUCUGAUGACUGUGCGACAGUGUGUCAACCAGAAGGAAACAUGAAACUCCAGAAGUGACAUCAACAAUAAAAAAUCAGCUUAAAGAAUGGAAUAUCAUCUGAGCCCAGUGGUGGCAAGGAAGAGCUGCAUGACCUUUGAUGAGGAUGCUGAGCUGAAGUGGACUGAACGUCGGAUGAAAGCGGUGGGCGAAUGAAGACAAUAGGGACACAAUGAAGGUGGAUGGAUACUGCAGAUUUACCCCAUCCACAACGUGGUUUUGUUCGGUCAGACAAAUAAAGAUAUUAAACGAAAAA